CUUGUAGACAGUGUGUGUUUAGAGAAUGCUGUGUGUGUUUGCUUACAAGUAAUGUAGUGUGUGCAUAGGAGAUACAGAGUUUGUAUGUCAGGAAUGUAGUGUGUGUAGGUGGUGCAGUGUGUGUGUGUGGGGGGGGGAUCUAGUGUAAAGGACCCAGAGUGUGUCUAGUAGAGUGUGUGUGUAUGUGUUUGUGUAGCGGAUUCAGAGUGUAUAUAGGGUUAGGGAUCUAGCGUGUAUCUGGAGCAAAAUGUAUGUAGGGGUGCUGUAGUGUGAGUGUUCUUAUCU
Pelobates cultripes (western spadefoot toad) is the source of this 285-nucleotide non-coding RNA. The record is from the annotation of a GenBank genome assembly. Lineage: Eukaryota; Metazoa; Chordata; Amphibia; Anura; Pelobatidae.